Molecule: long non-coding RNA, 480 nt
Organism: Dermacentor albipictus
Lineage: Eukaryota; Metazoa; Arthropoda; Arachnida; Ixodida; Ixodidae
Source: RefSeq, a predicted model, not a curated record
GCGGUGAUUGAAGAGCAAGAGCACGCACGUCAGUGGCACCCUGUCUGAAAAUGCGUAACACGCACACCGAGGGCGCUUGCUUCGUCGGACGACAGACCACACGCCGGCGGCUCUCGUCACCACGUCCUGCACCGUACUGCGGCUACGGCAUUAAAGGGUGAGUUCGAUGUUCUGGUCUGAGCUGAGCCUGCGAUCCUAACAAAUUGGACGAGACUGGAACGGCGACCCAGGAGGUGGCACUUCACAGGCUUGUGACCUCCAGCUGUUGUUGGCCGCUAUGCUUGCGAGUGCACGACACAGAAACAGCCGGUGUCCUUGAAUAUCAGGGUGGAGGUGGCAAACGGAGCAGCUUGGCUCAAGCUUUCAUGGACUGAAGGCACCUAACUGCGCCAAAAGCUGUUGCUAGCACGUCAGCAGGUCUAACGCAGCUAAAAAGAAAAGUAUCGGUCUGUCGCGCACCCCGAACUGGUUGUAAGAACA